Molecule: ribosomal RNA, 253 nt
Filed under: uncultured bacterium
Lineage: Bacteria
Description: partial 16S ribosomal RNA
Rfam family: Bacterial small subunit ribosomal RNA
Source: RNAcentral
GACGAAGGAUGCAAGCGUUAUCCGGAUUCAUUGGGUUUAAAGGGGGCGUAGGUGGCCUUAUAAGUCAGUGGUGAAAUCUCUGGGCUUAACCCAGAAAUUGCCAUUGAUACUGUAGGGCUUGAGUAUAGUUGCCGUUGGCGGAAUAUGACAUGUAGUGGUGAAAUACAUAGAGAUGUCAUAGAACACCGAUUGCGAAGGCAGCUGACGAAACUAUAACUGACACUGAGGCUCGAAAGUGCGGGGAUCAAACAGG